Molecule: ribosomal RNA, 194 nt
Filed under: uncultured eukaryote
Lineage: Eukaryota
Description: partial 18S ribosomal RNA
Rfam family: Eukaryotic small subunit ribosomal RNA
Source: RNAcentral
GAAACCUGGUUGAUCCUGCCAGUAGUCAUAUGCUUGUCUCAAAGAUUAAGCCAUGCAUGUCUAAGUAUAAACGACUUUAUACAGUGAAACUGCGAAUGGCUCAUUAAAUCAGUUAUAGUUUAUUUGAUAAUUCUUUACUACAUGGAUAACCGUGGUAAUUCUAGAGCUAAUACAUGCAUAAAAACCCGACUUUU